GGGCGGUUAGCUCAGUUGGUAGAGCAGCGGACUUUUAAUCCGUUGGUCCGGAGUUCGAGCCUCCGACCGCCUACCA
RNAcentral lists this transfer RNA (76 nucleotides) under Betaproteobacteria bacterium SG8_40. RNAcentral's name for it is "tRNA-Lys". It matches the Rfam family "tRNA". From Rfam's summary of the family: Transfer RNA (tRNA) molecules are approximately 80 nucleotides in length. Their secondary structure includes four short double-helical elements and three loops (D, anti-codon, and T loops). The record is from RNAcentral. RNAcentral also lists the same sequence under 4 other names. Lineage: Bacteria; Pseudomonadati; Pseudomonadota; Betaproteobacteria.